This 329-nucleotide unclassified non-coding RNA is filed under the name soil metagenome. Its description in RNAcentral is "partial contains 5.8S ribosomal RNA, internal transcribed spacer 2, and large subunit ribosomal RNA". The stretch from base 1 to 120 matches the Rfam family "5.8S ribosomal RNA", at positions 35 to 154 of the family's 154-position model. The record is from RNAcentral.
GAUGAAGAACGUAGCGAAAUGCGAUAAGUAAUGUGAAUUGCAGAAUUCAGUGAAUCAUCGAAUCUUUGAACGCACAUUGCGCCACUUGGUAUUCCGAGGGGCAUGCCUGUUCGAGCGUCAUUAUAACCCCUCAAGCUCAGCUUGGAGUUGGGGCCUGCUGCACUGGCAGCCCUUAAAAUCAGUGGCGGCGCCAUCUGGCUCUAAGCGUAGUAAUUCUUCUCGCUAUGGAGUCCUGGUGGAUGCUUGCCAUCAACCCCCAAUUUUUCUAUGGUUGACCUCGGAUCAGGUAGGGAUACCCGCUGAACUUAAGCAUAUCAAUAAGCGGAGGA